Molecule: ribosomal RNA, 421 nt
Filed under: uncultured bacterium
Lineage: Bacteria
Description: bacterial SSU rRNA
Rfam family: Bacterial small subunit ribosomal RNA
Source: RNAcentral
AUCUUCCGCAAUGGGCGAAAGCCUGAUCCAGCAAUGCCGAGUGAGUGAAGAAGGCCUUCGGGUUGUAAAGCUCUUUUGUCAGGGAAGAAACGGUGAGGGCUAAUAUCCCUUGCUAAUGACGGUACCUGAAGAAUAAGCACCGGCUAACUACGUGCCAGCAGCCGCGGUAAUACGUAGGGUGCAAGCGUUAAUCGGAAUUACUGGGCGUAAAGCGUGCGCAGGCGGUUUUGUAAGUCUGAUGUGAAAGCCCCGGGCUCAACCGGGGAAUUGCAUUGGAGACUGCAAGGCUAGAAUCUGGCAGAGGAGGGUAGAAUUCCACGUGUAGCAGUGAAAUGCGUAGAUAUGUGGAGGAACACCGAUGGCGAAGGCAGCCCCCUGGGUCAAGAUUGACGCUCAUGCACGAAAGCGUGGGGAGCAAACA